UGGGGAAUCUUGGACAAUGGGGGCAACCCUGAUCCAGCCAUGCCGCGUGAGUGAUGAAGGCCUUAGGGUCGUAAAGCUCUUUCGCCUGUGAAGAUAAUGACGGUAGCAGGUAAAGAAACCCCGGCUAACUCCGUGCCAGCAGCCGCGGUAAUACGGAGGGGGUUAGCGUUGUUCGGAAUUACUGGGCGUAAAGCGCACGUAGGCGGACCAGAAAGUUGGGGGUGAAAUCCCGGGGGCUCAACCCCGGAACUGCCUCCAAAACUAAUUGGUCUAGAGUUCGAGAGAGGUGAGUGGAAUUCCAAGUGUAGAGGUGAAAUUCGUAGAUAUUUGGAGGAACACCAGUGGCGAAGGCGGCUCACUGGCUCGAUACUGACGCUGAGGUGCGAAAGUGUGGGGAGCAAACAGGAGUUAG
This 412-nucleotide ribosomal RNA is filed under the name uncultured bacterium. RNAcentral's name for it is "bacterial SSU rRNA". It matches the Rfam family "Bacterial small subunit ribosomal RNA", at positions 355 to 781 of the family's 1533-position model. The record is from RNAcentral.